AUGAUUGGCUGGUCCCAGGAACCAGCAAGUGUGGCUGCGCUCCAGGGUGUGUGGACGCCGCUUUGUUGCCUGAGGGGGGUGGCGGUGGAAGUUCAGGGGGUCGAGGGUUACCGCUCCUCUAGACCAGCAGUUGCGGCCGCUGCAGUCACUUCGCCCGGUAGCCUUUAGCCUAGGAGUCGCGCCGACAGCAGCCAUGAGCGGUGGCGUGUAUGGGGGAGGUGAGUGAGCGCGUUUAGACGAAAGAGCGCGCCUUUUCCGCGUGUAGGGUUUGUAACCACCACCGCUAGUCCUCCCCUCCACGGCGGUCCCUUCCGGUCUCCCCCUCUCGGGACCCCGGCCUCCCCGCCCCAUCCCCGCCCCGCGCUCUGCCCGCCCACGGAGCCUACGGGCACAACCGGCACCUCGGGCGCCAGGCAGUCGCCGCUCUCUCGACUCCUGUCUGUCUCUGGACACCGAGGAGCGGGGUUUUGGGGGUGUGCGCUCCGUCCCCGAGGGACGUCCCGGUUGAAUGACCGGCAUCCAGGGUCACUUCUCCCCGAGGGUCUGCAGAACGCCGCUGUCGGGUUGUGUGUUUGUGUGUGCUUGUGUGUGCGUGCGCGCGUGUUUCAACUUGGGAGGUCCUGGUAGCUUGCUAGCGUGGACCUAGGGUUUCCGCAACGUCCCACAGACUGCAAAGCCGGCGCGAGGGCAGAACUGAUUGGAAGAUGCGUCCUCCCGUGGUCUGCGUCCAGAGCUCGCGCGGCCUCACACCUUUCAGUAACUCCUGCUUAUUUGUUGACUGCGACGUUACUUGUGGCGGGACUGCUUGCGAUUAAUUUGGAACACAUGUAAUUUAAGGAUGACCAGAAAGUUGACCUGGGCCUUAGGCGCCUGGUCUUUCAUGGUCUUUGGAUAGGCUGUGAUGUAGCAGAUGACCACGCCUGCGAAUUGUGGUCCUGGAUUGUAGUUCCAGCCUGUUUUAGCUUGGGCUUGGACAGUUUUUAAUAACCUUUUUCCAACUUCUGGCUCAUUUGUGGAAUAAUUUUUAUCCCUUGGUGUGUUUGAGAAGAUCCCCAAGUGCUAGGAAGCACCAGUGUAUAUGUUUUGGAUUGUGUUCAGUUGAGUUAGAGACCUACUCUACAAAGCGAAAGUAUUGUGGUUGUUACAGUUUCUAAUAAGGAUCCUGUUUCUGAAGAGGAUGGCAUUUUACACGUAAGGAAUAACAAAAAUAAGGUUAUAAAGAAUAGUUUUGGGUGGAUAAUUGCAGCAUCUCUUCCGAUGUGGUAAAGCUGAUCCUCACCUCCUUCCUCCCUGUUAUGUUUUUCCUUUUGGUUGCUUAGUGUGGGUAGUUUCCCAUUUUUUUUUUUUUCCUUUUGAGAAGGCCCAGCAGAUGUUCAUGAUUUACCUCUUUCCAGUCUAAAGGUGCAAUCCUAAAGAAAAACUGGAUCUUGCUUUUGCCUUGUAGAACUAAUUGACUAUAUUAUGACUUUCAUGCUUACUGACCCAAAGAGCUGGAAACUAUCCAUUAUUUCUUACAAGGCAGUGUUUGUGACUAAGUUAGAAAGGAAUAAUAGUAAUGCCAGUAGAUAACAUUUAUUGAGUACAUACUGUAGGCCAAGAACCAUUCCAAAGACUUUAUAAGCAUUGCAUUUAAUAAUACAUUAAUUCGUUUAAUUAAUUACAAUUGUAUGAAUUGGUACUGCUGUCUCCUGUUUUUGAAGAAAUUACAUAACUUCUUACUAAGUUGGGAACAAAGAUCCUGGGAUGAAGAAAAGGCAUCUCAGUAAAACCUUUUCCGUUCUUAAAAGAAAGUUACUUGGAAUGCAUUCCACUGUCAUAUAUAAAAAAUUAAAUUAAAAAUAUUAUUAGACUCAAAAAAAAAGUUACAUACUCCCAUGUGACUUGGCCAAGUGCUUUGAAGGAGACGGAAAGUGAGGUCAGGAAGGGUAAAUCAGGCCUACUUCCAUCUCUGUACUGAUUUCCUCCCAUGGCCAACCAGAUGACCCAGGAAGAGACCAGAGAAAAUUAUUAACAGAGAGGCAGUCCUGUCAUGGGACUUCAAGGAGAUAAGCCAAGUUCAGUCCUCCAUCAGUGUUGGAGAGAGCAAGAAGGAAUGGGGCAUGCCUCAGAAAAACAUAAAGGUUACCCAUGACUUGGCAUGACCUUUCCUAGCCACUGCUCCAUGUUGAGGGCCAUAAUGUAAAUCUGUGUUAUGCCUUAAGAAUGAAGGUUUCUCAGUUCGUGGAAUGUUUCUAAAAAUCUGUUUCUACAUUUGAGGAACAUUAGUAUUGCCUGCUACCCACCAAGUUCACCAAAAUGUUUCCUUGCAUGUUUACUACUAUUAGUCAGAACCUGGUUAGAUUAAUCUUUGUCCUAGAAUUAUGAACUGUGUUUUAAACUUUACUUUGGGAAAUAUUUAUUGUUUUAGAGAAAUUUCAACACAAUGGAAUGACUUCUCAUAAAGGAAAACAAAACUAUGAUUAUUCUAGUUCUUCUUAUCAGCCUUCUUUUUGUUUGUUUUUUUUUGGGGGGGGGUUCUUUUAUCUAACUAUUUAUUAUUGUCUUUUUUGGAACUGGAGGUCAAACUCAGGACUUUGGGGAUGUGAGGCAGAUGUUUUGCCACUGAACUACAUCCCAACCCCAGCCUUCCUUCUUUUAACAUUUCUUGUUAGCCUUUUUUUUUUUUGGUCAUUUGCCAAGAUAAAUGGACUUGAUGUCAAAAAAUAAAAAUUUGGGAAAAUUAAAAAAAAUAAAAGAAAGAAACUUACUUAAUUUCUUCUCUGUAAGUCAUUUUUCAUGUCCACAACUGCAGCAUCAUCAUGUAUGGUUUAAGUAUUGAGAAUUAACUUCCUGCUUCUUACUGGUUUAUAUAGAGAAAUAUAUCUGAAAGACUGUUUUGUAUAUAUAGUAUUUAAAACUCAUAAGUUUGAUUUGUGUUUGUAUAAUAUUUGUGUAGGUAUAAUAUUUAUGAGUCAUUUUCCAAAGUUUACUGUAAAAACCAUCUAAACCUUCCACUUGAAUUUUGAGUAAUUAACUUAAACUGUAUUUUUAACCUGAUUGCUUAUUUAAAAAGACAUUUGUAGUUUAAAUUUUUAAAAUUUAUGCCUGUUUUCUUCUACUGAUUACUUGUGACUGAUAAUUUGUAACUGGUUUCUGGUCCUACUCAUGCAGCCAUCUUUCAUGGUACUUCUUCUCUUCUUCCAACUCCUUCACAUGAUAAAAAUAAACAGGUAUACUACUAGCCUAA
Non-coding RNA from Ictidomys tridecemlineatus (thirteen-lined ground squirrel), 3226 nucleotides. NCBI's taxonomy places the organism in Eukaryota, Metazoa, Chordata, Mammalia, Rodentia, Sciuridae. The record is from RefSeq and is a predicted model, not a curated record.